NNNNNNNNNNNNNNNNNNNNCAGUUGAACACGAGUUAGCCAAUCCUAAGCCGCAUGGGAAUCCAGUCGUAACCCAUCAGUCGGCGAAAGGGAAUCCGGUUACCAUUCCGGAGCCUGUUGAGUACCCGUUUGCGCCAGCCUAGUAGGGUUUAGCUCGUCCGCACCCGAACGGUUAGUGUGUAGCUUCAUGGCAACAUGAAUCCUUUUCUUCGAGAAGCCAACGAGAGGCAUCGGAAGAGUUUUCUUUUCUGUUUUACAGCCACACCGACCAUGGAAGUCACUCACAGAGAGAUAUGGUUGGACCGGUCUGGUAGAGCACGGCCGCCGCAACUGCCGUGUCGAUGCACUCUUCUUGGACCGUGAAAAUCGAAGACUGGGGCACACUUUAUAUGGUAAUAACGCACACUCUCAACAGAUUGUACCGAAUCCGCAGCAGGUCUCCAAGGUGCAGAGUCUCU
This 457-nucleotide ribosomal RNA is filed under the name Anopheles gambiae (African malaria mosquito). Its description in RNAcentral is "eukaryotic large subunit ribosomal RNA". It matches the Rfam family "Eukaryotic large subunit ribosomal RNA", at positions 1501 to 1884 of the family's 3401-position model. Lineage: Eukaryota; Metazoa; Arthropoda; Insecta; Diptera; Culicidae. The record is from RNAcentral.